Molecule: ribosomal RNA, 253 nt
Filed under: uncultured bacterium
Lineage: Bacteria
Description: partial 16S ribosomal RNA
Rfam family: Bacterial small subunit ribosomal RNA
Source: RNAcentral
CACGUAGGGCGCAAGCGUUGUCCGGAAUUAUUGGGCGUAAAGAGCUCGUAGGCGGUCUGUUGCGUCCGCUGUGAAAACUCGGGGCUUAACCCCGAGCCUGCAGUGGAUACGGGCAGACUAGAGGUAGGUAGGGGAGAAUGGAAUUCCCGGUGUAGCGGUGAAAUGCGCAGAUAUCGGGAGGAACACCGGUGGCGAAGGCGGUUCUCUGGGCCUUACCUGACGCUGAUGUGCGAAAGCGUGGGGAGCAAACAGG